CCUACGGGUUGCACCAGUGGGGAAUAUUGCACAAUGGGCGCAAGCCUGAUGCAGCCAUGCCGCGUGUGUGAAGAAGGCCUUAGGGUUGUAAAGCACUUUCAGCGAGGAGGAAGGGUUCAGUGUUAAUAGCACUGUGCAUUGACGUUACUCACAGAAGAGGCACCGGCUAACUCCGUGCCAGCAGCCGCGGUAAUACGGAGGGUGCAAGCGUUAAUCGGAAUUACUGGGCGUAAAGCGCACGCAGGUGGUUUGUUAAGUCAGAUGUGAAAUCCCCGAGCUUAACUUGGGAACAGCAUUUGAAACUGGCAAGCUAGAGUCUUGUAGAGGGGGGUAGAAUUCCAGGUGUAGCGGUGAAAUGCGUAGAGAUCUGGAGGAAUACCGGUGGCGAAGGCGGCCCCCUGGACAAAGACUGACGCUCAGGUGCGAAAGCGUGGGGAGCAAACAGGAUUAGAUACCCCGGUAGUC
RNAcentral lists this ribosomal RNA (465 nucleotides) under uncultured bacterium. Its description in RNAcentral is "bacterial SSU rRNA". It matches the Rfam family "Bacterial small subunit ribosomal RNA", at positions 338 to 795 of the family's 1533-position model. The record is from RNAcentral.